RNAcentral lists this ribosomal RNA (734 nucleotides) under uncultured bacterium. RNAcentral describes it as "bacterial SSU rRNA". It matches the Rfam family "Bacterial small subunit ribosomal RNA", at positions 91 to 863 of the family's 1533-position model. The record is from RNAcentral.
GGGAGCGGCAGACGGGUGAGUAACGCGUGGGAAUCUACCCUUUUCUACGGAAUAACGCAGGGAAACUUGUGCUAAUACCGUAUGUGUCCUUCGGGAGAAAGAUUUAUCGGGAAAGGAUGAGCCCGCGUUGGAUUAGCUAGUUGGUGGGGUAAAGGCCUACCAAGGCGACGAUCCAUAGCUGGUCUGAGAGGAUGAUCAGCCACAUUGGGACUGAGACACGGCCCAAACUCCUACGGGAGGCAGCAGUGGGGAAUAUUGGACAAUGGGCGCAAGCCUGAUCCARCCAUGCCGCGUGAGUGAUGAAUGCCCUAGGGUUGUAAAGCUCUUUCACCGGAGAAGAUAAUGACGGUAUCCGGAGAAKAAGCCCCGGCUAACUUCGUGCCAGCARCCGCGGUAAUACGAAGGGGGCUAGCGUUGUUCGGAAUUACUGGGCGUAAAGCGCACGUAGGCGGAUCGAUCAGUCAGGGGUGAAAUCCCAGGGCUCAACCCUGGAACUGCCUUUGAUACUGUCGAUCUGGAGUAUGGAAGAGGUGAGUGGAAUUCCGAGUGUAGAGGUGAAAUUCGUAGAUAUUCGGAGGAACACCAGUGGCGAAGGCGGCUCACUGGUCCAUUACUGACGCUGAGGUGCGAAAGCGUGGGGAUCAAACAGGAUUAGAUACCCUGGUAGUCCACGCCCUAAACGAUGAACACUCGCUGUUGGCGAUACACAGUCAGCGGCUAAGCGAAAGCGUUAA